ACUGAUGAAGGCGAUUACCAGGUAAAACUACGCAACCUGCGUCGCUUCAUUGAAGAGGGUGACAAAGCUAAAGUAACGCUGCGCUAUCGUGGUCGUGAAAUGGCGCAUCUUGACAUUGGUAUUGAUAUGUUAAAUCGGAUUAAAGAAGAUUUAUCAGACAUUGCCUUGUGCGAAUCUUUCCCUUCACGGGUGGAAGGUCGCCAGAUGAUCAUGAUGCUGGCCCCAAAUAAGAAGUAAUAGGUGCUUUCAAGUGUAACCCCGCACUGCAAAGUGUGGGGUUAACGCCUUAUUAUUCGUUGUAACUUAACAAUGCGAGUUUUUAACUAUGCCAAAGAUGAAAA
RNAcentral lists this unclassified non-coding RNA (341 nucleotides) under Rheinheimera pacifica. RNAcentral's name for it is "Long range pseudoknot". The record is from RNAcentral. Lineage: Bacteria; Pseudomonadati; Pseudomonadota; Gammaproteobacteria; Chromatiales; Chromatiaceae.